Molecule: unclassified non-coding RNA, 276 nt
Filed under: Hevea brasiliensis (rubber tree)
Lineage: Eukaryota; Viridiplantae; Streptophyta; Magnoliopsida; Malpighiales; Euphorbiaceae
Source: RNAcentral
AAAGUUACGGAAAAAAAUCCUUUAUUUUUGCCAAUUGAUAUUCUAUAUAGGCUCCACAUAUACAUCAACAACACCACACUUUUUGACUAAAUUAGCCACAAUUAUUACCAAUAUCAUGAUUUGCAGCCACAGCAGAUAAAGAUUAAGGAUUUGCCAAUAUUGAAAAAUACAAAUAAUUCAAAACUUUAAUGCAAAAUGCCUAUUUUGACCCUUAAACUUUGUGCCAAUAGUCACAUAAUCCCUUUAACUUUUUUGGAGUCCGAAAAGCCUUUCAAA